Long non-coding RNA from Gallus gallus (chicken), 3308 nucleotides. Lineage: Eukaryota; Metazoa; Chordata; Aves; Galliformes; Phasianidae. The record is from Ensembl.
CUCCAUUGUCCGAAGGGAACUACGUGUAAGAUGGUGGAUGGACAUCCCCAGUGUGUCCAAAAUCAACCUACCUGCAGUGACAUCCAGUGCCAGAAGGGAUCCACAUGCCAGAUGGUGGAUGGUUGGCCACGGUGUGUCCAACCCAAGAUGACAAAAAGGCAACAUUCCUGCAGGGACGUGCAGUGUCCCAAAGGGACCUCAUGUCGGAUAAGAGAUGGAUGGCCCCACUGUGUGCAGAACCAGCCCUCCUGCCAGGAUGUCCAAUGUCAGAAGGGAACGGAGUGUGUGAUGGUGGAUGGUUGGCCACAGUGCGUCCAAAUUAAGACUUCCAUCAGGAGACCCACCUGUAGUGAUGUCCAUUGUUCCAAGGGGACUGUGUGUGAGAUGGUGGAUGGAUGGCCUCAAUGUUUGCAACCCAAGGUGGUCCCAAAGCAGCCUUCUUGCAAGGACUUUCAGUGUCCCAAAGGGACGUCAUGUAGGAUGACAGAUGGGUGGCCCCACUGUGUGCAGAACCAGCUGUCCUGCCAGGAUGUCCAAUGUCAGAAGGGAACCGUGUGCCAGAUGGUGGAUGGAUGGCCUCAUUGUGUCCAGACGAAGACUUCCAUCAGGAGACCCACCUGCAGUGAUGUUCGGUGCUCCAAAGGGACAGUGUGUGAGAUGGUGGAUGGAUGGCCUCAAUGUGUUCAACCCAAGGUGGUCCCAAAGCAGCUUUCUUGCAAGGACAUGCAGUGUCCCAAAGGGAGCUCAUGUAGGAUGACAGAUGGAUGGCCCCACUGUGUGCAGAACCAGCCGUCCUGUCAUGAUAUCCAAUGUCAGAAGGGAACGGAGUGCCAGAUGGUGAAUGGUUGGCUUCAGUGUGUCCAAAUCAAGACCUCUGUCAGGAGACCCACCUGUAGUGAUGUUCGGUGCUCCAAGGGGACGGUGUGUCAGAUGGUGGAUGGAUGGCCUCAGUGUCUUCAACCCAAGGUGGCCCCAAGGCAACCUUCAUGCAGGGACAUGCAGUGCCCAAAAGGGACCUCAUGCAGAAUGACAGAUGGGUGGCCCCACUGUGUGCAGAACCAGCCCUCCUGCCAGGAUGUUCAGUGUCAGAAGGGAACCGUGUGCCAGAUGGUGGAUGGAUGGCCUCAUUGUGUCCAGAUGAAGAGUUCCAUCAGGAGACCCACCUGCAGUGAUGUUCACUGCUCCAAGGGGACAGUGUGUGAGAUGGUGGAUGGAUGGCCUCAAUGUUUGCAACCCAAGGUGGUCCCAAAGCAGCCUUCUUGCAAGGACAUUCAGUGCCCCAAAGGGACGUCGUGUAGGAUCAGAGAUGGGUGGCCCCACUGUGUGCAGAACCAGCCCUCCUGCCAGGAUGUCCAGUGUCAGAAGGGAACUGUGUGCCAGAUGGUGGAUGGAUGGCCUCAUUGUGUCCAAAUCAAGACUUCCAUCAGGAGACCCACCUGUAGUGACCUACGGUGUUCCAAAGGUUCAGUGUGUGAGACGGUGGAUGGUUGGCCCCAGUGUGUUCAACCCAAGGUGGUCCCAAGGCAGCCUUCUUGCAAGGACAUGCAGUGUCCCAAAGGGACCUCAUGUCAGAUCAGAGAUGGGUGGCCCCACUGUGUGCAGAACCAGCCCUCCUGUCAUGAUAUCCAAUGUCAGAAGGGAAUGGAGUGUCAGACAGUGGAUGGAUGGCCUCAUUGUGUCCAAAUCAAGACCUCUAUCAGGAGACCCACCUGUAGUGAUGUUCGGUGCUCCAAAGGUUCAGUGUGUGAGAUGGUGGAUGGUUGGCCUCAAUGUGUUCAACCCAAGGUGGUCCCAAGGCAACCUUCUUGCAGGGACAUGCAGUGCCCAAAAGGGACCUCAUGCAGAAUGACAGAUGGGUGGCCCCACUGUGUGCAGAACCAGCCCUCCUGCCAGGAUGUCCAAUGUCAGAAGGGAACUGUGUGCCAGAUGGUGGAUGGAUGGCCUCAUUGUGUCCAGAUGAAGACUUCCAUCAGGAGACCCACCUGCAGUGACCUACGGUGUUCCAAAGGUUCAGUGUGUGAGACGGUGGAUGGUUGGCCCCAGUGUGUGCAACCCAAGGUGGCCCCAAAGCAGCCUUCUUGCAACGACAUGCAGUGUCCCAAAGGGACCUCAUGUAGGGUAAGAGAUGGAUGGCCCCACUGUGUGCAGAACCAGCCCUCCUGCCAGGAUGUUCAUUGUCAGAAGGGAACGGAGUGUCUGAUGGUGAAUGGUUGGCCUCAGUGUGUCCAGAUGAAGACUUCCAUCAGGAGACCCACCUGUAGUGACGUUCGGUGCUCCAAAGGUUCAGUGUGUGAGAUGGUGGAUGGAUGGCCUCAGUGUGUCGAACUCAAGGUGGUCCCAAAGCAGCCUUCUUGCAAGGACAUUCAGUGCCCCAAAGGGACGUCGUGUAGGAUGACAGAUGGGUGGCCCCACUGUGUGCAGAACCAGCCCUCCUGUCAUGAUAUCCAAUGUCAGAAGGGAACUGUGUGCCAGAUGGUGGAUGGAUGGCCUCAUUGUGUCCAAAUCAAGACUUCUGUCAGGAGACCCACCUGUAGUGAUGUUCGGUGCUCCAAGGGGACGGUGUGUCAGAUGGAGGAUGGAUGGCCUCGAUGUGUUCAACCCAAGGUGGUCCCAAGGCAGCCUUCUUGCAAGGACAUGCAGUGUCCCAAGGGGUCCUCAUGUAGGAUGACAGAUGGGUGGCCCCAUUGUGUUCAGAACCAGCCCUCCUGCCAGGAUGUCCAGUGUCAGAUGGGAACCGUGUGCCAGAUGGUGGAUGGAUGGCCUCAUUGUGUCCAAAUCAAGACCUCUAUCAGGAGACCCACCUGUAGUGAUGUUCGGUGCUCCAAGGGGACAGUGUGUGAGAUGGUGGAUGGAUGGCCUCAAUGUUUGCAACCCAAGGUGGUCCCAAGGCAGCCUUCUUGCAAGGACAUGCAGUGUCCCAAGGGGUCCUCAUGUAGGAUGACAGAUGGGUGGCCCCAUUGUGUUCAGAACCAGCCCUCAUGCCAGGAUGUUCAGUGUCAGAAGGGAACCGUGUGCCAGAUGGUGGAUGGAUGGCCUCAUUGUGUCCAAAUCAAGACUUCCAUCAGGAGACCCACCUGCAGUGAUGUUCGGUGCUCCAAGGGGACAGUGUGUGAGAUGGUGGAUGGAUGGCCUCAAUGUGUUCAACCCAAGGUGGUCCCAAGGCAGCCUUCUUGCAAGGACAUGCAGUGUCCCAAAGGGAGCUCAUGUAGGAUGACAGAUGGGUGGCCCCAUUGUGUGCAGAACCAGCCCUCCUGCAGUGACAUCUACUGCCAGAAGGGAACUGAGUGCCAAAUGGUCAAUGGUUGGCC